GGCUGGUCCGAAGGUAGUGAGUUAUCUCACUUGAUUGUUCACAGUCAGUUACAGAUUGAACUCCUUGUUCUACUACUUUCCCCCCUCCUCACUACUGCGCUUGACUAGUCUUAA
RNAcentral lists this Y RNA (114 nucleotides) under Prolemur simus (greater bamboo lemur). Its description in RNAcentral is "Y RNA (ENSPSMG00000018264.1)". It matches the Rfam family "Y RNA". Rfam says of the family: Y RNAs are components of the Ro ribonucleoprotein particle (Ro RNP), in association with Ro60 and La proteins. The record is from Rfam by way of RNAcentral. Lineage: Eukaryota; Metazoa; Chordata; Mammalia; Primates; Lemuridae.